This 433-nucleotide ribosomal RNA is filed under the name uncultured bacterium. RNAcentral describes it as "partial 16S ribosomal RNA". It matches the Rfam family "Bacterial small subunit ribosomal RNA", at positions 29 to 507 of the family's 1533-position model. The record is from RNAcentral.
AACGAACGCUGGCGGCAUGCCUAACACAUGCAAGUCGAACGAGACCUUCGGGUCUAGUGGCGCACGGGUGCGUAACGCGUCGGAACCUUCCCUUAUGUUUGGAAUACCUCUCCGACAGGGGUGCUAACACCGGAUAAUUUCUUCUAACCAAAGAUUUAUCGCCUUUGGAUGGGCCCGCGUUGGAUUAGCUUGUUGGUAGGGUAAAAGCCUACCACGGCGACGUUCCAUAGCUGGUCUGAGAGGAAGAUCAGCCACACUGGGACUGAGACCCGGCCCAGACUCCUACGGGAGGCAGCAGUGGGGAAUAUUGGAAAAUGGGGGAAAGCAUGAACCAGCAAUGCCGCGUGAGUGAUGAAGGCCUUAGGGUAGUAAAGCUCUUUUACCCGGGAUGAUAAUGACAGUACCGGGAGAAUAAGCUCCGGCUAACUCCGUG